Long non-coding RNA from Mesocricetus auratus (golden hamster), 1119 nucleotides. RefSeq lists it as uncharacterized. The record is from RefSeq and is a predicted model, not a curated record. The transcript has 2 exons. NCBI's taxonomy places the organism in Eukaryota, Metazoa, Chordata, Mammalia, Rodentia, Cricetidae.
UGACCUCAUCUCCUAUAGUUUCAUAACCCACCAGAUGCUGCCGUCGGCUGGGGACCGGAUUUCUAAAGAGAAGCCUUUGGGGACCACUUCAGACCCAGCCCGUCUGUCCAUUCCCAUUCUCAGAGCUCAUGGCUGUCAGUAGUAUGACAAAUACUGCCUUUUGCUAUAUGCGCAUAGGCAUUUUUCUUUAAAAGGUGUAGUCCAUGUGUGUUGUGGACACACGCGUCACAGCCGGGGUAUCACCGCCAUCAGAGGACGACUUUCAAGAGCCACUUCUCUCCCCCAAGCAGCUUGUGGGUCUCAGGGAUCACGCCUAGGUCCUCAGGCUUGGCAGCAAGCUCCUUCACCCACCAAGUCAUUUCGCGGGUCUGACUACAGAUAGAAUCUAAUGGGAACUUUUGUUUUUAAGAGUGACUUCACUUUUAGUUAUGGAGGGGGGUUACAUGUGUGAGUGUGGGUACCCGCAGAGUUCAGAAGAGGACACCUGGCCCCCUAGAGCUGGAGUGAGAGAAGUGUCCUGGUGUUCGUUCACAGCAGGAGGCCCAAGAACCAACCCUCGCCUCUUGGCUUCGUCCUCUUCGACCAUUCCCUGCCCUUCGAGGACCGGGAAUUCACCGCAGUACCGGCUUUUACUCCCCAUUGCACUAGGACUUAAACAAUCGGCUUGGAAAGCACGAAUUAGCCAGUCGCCUCUCGGUUGGGUUUGAUGUUUCUCAUGUUCAGAUGAGUCUUGGGGAGGAAGACCAGAGGUAGAGGGCUGUCUUCAUCCUCUUAUUAUAAAUUAAUAUAUCUGGGGAUCAUACUACCAACAAGCCUGAGGUCUAAUGAGUUUGAACUUGAGCAUCUGGCUGAGGGGUUAUUGCUCAGUUUCUCUGUUGAAUGGUUAAUUCCUUCCCCUCUCUCCUUACUACAUAGGAAAGGGGGAAUGGGAAGGGAGGGAGGGAGGAAGGGGGGAGGAGCUAGGAAGAGAGAUCACUUCACAGCCAUGCUCAAGAGAAAUAUCCUAUAUAAAUCACUUACAAUUCUUCAAUUUGGGGUUUUUUGUUCUUUUUUCUUUUUUUUAUUCAGUCGAGGUGAGCCUGGCAAAGUGCCUUAAUUUCUUGGCACUGUAAUAAAAUA